CCAUCCCUCCCCCAUCCUACUUCUCCGACCAGUCUGACUGUCAUCCUGAUUAAAUUUUAUCUCUGUUUGGUUCAUUGUCAACUUCCUCUAGCUAACAAUGAGUGAUUCCACAUUUUCCUUGAACCUCAUCCCCUUUGAUCUCUCGUUUUCACACCUUACCCUUCGAUAUCUCUCUAUAUCCCCCUCCGCU
Long non-coding RNA from Amblyraja radiata (thorny skate), 190 nucleotides. RefSeq lists it as uncharacterized. The record is from RefSeq and is a predicted model, not a curated record. The transcript has 3 exons. NCBI's taxonomy places the organism in Eukaryota, Metazoa, Chordata, Chondrichthyes, Rajiformes, Rajidae.